UCUAGGUGAAAAAGGAUAAAACAAUGACAAAGUGAAGGUUAAGAUUGGACAAUGCCUGGUUUUUAUGCCCCCAGAUCGAAAGAUCGGGGGUAUAUUGUUUUUGGCCUGUCUGUCAUUGUAUGUGUCCGUGUGUGUGUUUCCCAAAACAUUAACCUUCUUCAUAACUUUUGCAAUAUUGAAGAUAGCAACUGGCAUGAUAUUUGGCAUGCAUGUGUAUCUCAUGGAGCUGCACAUUUUGAGUGGUGAAAGGUCAAGGUCAUCCUUCAAGGUCAAAGGUCAAAACAAUAAUUUAAAAGCAGCGCAUUAGGGGGCAUUAUGUUUCUGACAAACACAUCUGUUCAAAAAGUCUUGUCAAACUAGAUUCAAGGUGAACGUUUCACUGGUUGUCUAAACAUAUCUUUGAAUGUUUAGGCUACAAGAAAUCAAUUAUUUGUUUAGAGCUGUAACAAUUCACACAUCAUUUGAUUCGAUUUCGACACCAAAUGUUCCAAUUCGAUUAUUUUCGAUUCGAUUCAAAUUAAACUAUUUGCUGCUUUUUUUGCAAACUAUUUCAUGUUUGGUUUGAAUUCAAUUAAUAUGUUUGGUGUUUGUUAUUAACUUAUUAUGUUGUACAUUUAAAGUAACUAUAGCGCUCAAAAUCACCGAAAAUUUCGUUAAGUAUUUCGUAAAAUAAAGUUAACACCUAAACAAUCACUGUUCCUUAUAGCAAUAGCCAAAAUUUCAACGCUAGAUGCAGAAUAAUUACUUAGAUUUUUGUAGAUACAAAAUGCUCGUUUUUAUUUAUUUAUGGCCACAAUUAAUUCCGGGUGUGUAGAAAUACCGAAAUCCCCGUAAUUACCGAAAUCCCCAAUAAUAUUUAUUAUUUAUCAAAAUACUGCGGAUAUUAAGAUAGAAUAUUGCAAAAUACAAUCUAUUCACUGAUGAAAAAUUGUUUUUAUCCAUGUUUGGUAGUGAAAAACUAAAAUAUAUACAUAAUUAUUGGGAUUCCGAAUAUAUGAAUCCAUAGUGCAUGUUUUCACAAGCACGAUCAGGUACAGAAAUCCCCGCUGUAAAGCUCUUCAAGUGUCAAAAAAUCAUCUGGGUGGCUUUUUGAUAUUAGAAAGAAGAGGUACAGACAAAAACUUAACAACAAUAUUUACAUUAUAUUUGAAUUAGAACCUUCGCGAAACCCGAAAUGUUCCCAUACUCGGGGAUAUAGAUAAUUUUUGACCCAUGGGAGUAAAUACCCCCACUUUUCAAAGCAUGGGGAUAAAUGGUCAAAUUUUGCCUUGCUUGAAGAGUAAUUUGCUAAAAGUAAAACCAUUGCCGACUUCUGAAUGUUGAUUGCUUCAUCAUUGGCCCAAACAUUAUCAGCCUUGUAUUGUUUGCAGAUUUUACAUUUAAGACGAACUUCGUCCUUACUGUCCACCACCGUGAGCCACGGAAAACUGUUUUGCCAACUUUCAACAGUUGUUUUAUUACGUUUGUGUCCUUUUUUAUUUGAAAACAGAAGAAAUUAAAUCAUUCAGUAUUGGCA
Molecule: long non-coding RNA, 1516 nt
Organism: Dreissena polymorpha
Lineage: Eukaryota; Metazoa; Mollusca; Bivalvia; Myida; Dreissenidae
Exons: 2
Source: RefSeq, a predicted model, not a curated record